This 1454-nucleotide long non-coding RNA is filed under the name Ananas comosus (pineapple). RNAcentral describes it as "long non-coding RNA (ACOM_LNC013981)". Lineage: Eukaryota; Viridiplantae; Streptophyta; Magnoliopsida; Poales; Bromeliaceae. The record is from RNAcentral.
ACAUGAUUGGAAGAGCAAAAGUGAGUUCCGAAGGAGUUGGAAGGGUUUAGAUAUCGAUCGAGCGAAAUCGAAUCGAAAAGGAUCAGAAAACAGCAUUUUGCAGGUGCUGUACCGGUACAAGAGUGAUGGCUGUACCGGUACAGUCAUUACGGAACAGUGCAGCACAGUGCUCCGGUGCUGUACCGGUACAAGGUGCUUGUACCGGUACAAACCCUGCGUAACCGAGGGUCACCCGCGCUCGGGUUUGGGCUGUUUGCCGGCCUUGUACCGGUACAAGAGCCCGUGUACCGGUACAAGGGGCCCGAAACUGCAGGGUGAGUUGCAGAUUUUGGAAAAACAGAGGGACUUAAUAGGAUAUUGUUACAACAUGUGAUGGGGGGUUAUUAGAGAGAGUAUUUCCUCUCUCUCUCUCUCUCCCACAGCCCUCUCUCUCCCUCUCUGUUCGUGCAAACCGGGAAAAGGAGAAAAGGAAGAAAAGAGAGAAGGAAAGGAAAGGAAAAGAGAAGAAGAAAAAGAGAAAGGAAAGGAGGAGAAGGAGAGGAUCAUCAUCUCCAUCUUCAUCUUCAUCUUCUUCCUCAUUUGGAGCUCUUUGAGAGGUAAGCUCCCAAGCCCUCUCAUGGUAGAUUUUUGUAGAAUGGGUUUUGAACCCUAGAUCUUUGGCUUUGAUCUACCUACAAGCUUUAGAAUUUUGUAAAGGCCAAGAACACAUGAAAUCCAUGGUGUUCUUCAAGAUGCUCUAAUGGUGGAUUUCUAGGGUUUGUUCUAGACACCCUAAGAACGGUUCAAAUGGUCCUAAAUGAGCUCUAAGAACUUGGACAAGCUCUCUUUUGCUUGUUUUAUAGAUCAAAUCUGGAGUAUUGAGCAUAUGCCAUGUUAGGGCAUCCCAAAGAGGGGUUUUGCUCAUAUAGGGUUUUGAUCUAUUUUGACCAUGUGGAAACCUAAUUGAUAGGUAACGAAACACGUUGGUGAAGUCGGUUCGGCAAUCCGACGAGCCGUUUUAAAGAUAUCGAAGAAACGGACGCUUGGAGCUUCGUUACCGCCUGGAGGGCCGAGGCGGCGUCCAUAAAUCGUGAAAUCGGGUCCCGAGCACCGUAACGGCAAGGCAAAGAUCGUUAGCACGUGAAACGGCGAAGCGGCGCGCUCUUGAAAAGCAAUUGUGAGAUCGGGCCCAAACGGGUGCCGAGUGCCGCGGGAGGCCGAUUGCCGCGGGAGGCCGAUUGCAAGUGUCGACAAGCAAUCGGAAUGCGAAUCGAGGUGGGUUGUGCUUACCGAAGCGACUAGGUCGCCCUUUAUGUCUUAGCAAUGUAUCUCAUGUUGAUGCAUGUGCAUGUAGACAAGACUAAAUGAUGCAAUAAUAAAUAUGCAUAAGUAAAGGCUAAGUAAAGUAAAGAAUGCAUGAUAAAUGAUAAUGCAUAGAGUAAAUGCAAGUAAAGUAAAGAAUGCAUGAUAAUGAC